CGCGUCCAACUUGAACAUUGAAAUAUUAACAGCUACAAUUGGCAUACUAGAAAACAUCAUUGACGUCAUCAUCGUCACGAAGAAGUCAACAAUAUAUAAGAUUUUGCGACAAU
Molecule: long non-coding RNA, 113 nt
Organism: Trachymyrmex septentrionalis
Lineage: Eukaryota; Metazoa; Arthropoda; Insecta; Hymenoptera; Formicidae
Exons: 3
Source: RefSeq, a predicted model, not a curated record